CACCUGCCUGGGCAUCUGGGUGGGUUAAAAGCUCCGGCGGUGAAGGAUGAGCCCGCGGCCUAUCAGCUUGUUGGUGAGGUAGUGGCUCACCAAGGCGACGACGGGUAGCCGGCCUGAGAGGGCGACCGGCCACACUGGGACUGAGACACGGCCCAGACUCCUACGGGAGGCAGCAGUGGGGAAUAUUGCACAAUGGGCGAAAGCCUGAUGCAGCGACGCCGCGUGAGGGAUGACGGCCUUCGGGUUGUAAACCUCUUUCAGCAGGGAAGAAGCGAGAGUGACGGUACCUGCAGAAGAAGCGCCGGCUAACUACGUGCCAGCAGCCGCGGUAAUACGUAGGGCGCAAGCGUUGUCCGGAAUUAUUGGGCGUAAAGAGCUCGUAGGCGGCUUGUCACGUCGGGUGUGAAAGCCCGGGGCUUAACCCCGGGUCUGCAUUCGAUACGGGCUAGCUAGAGUGUGGUAGGGGAGAUCGGAAUUCCUGGUGUAGCGGUGAAAUGCGCAGAUAUCAGGAGGAACACCGGUGGCGAAGGCGGAUCUCUGGGCCAUUACUGACGCUGAGGAGCGAAAGCGUGGGGAGCGAACAGGAUUAGAUACCCUGGUAGUCCACGCCGUAAACGGUGGGAACUAGGUGUUGGCGACAUUCCACGUCGUCGGUGCCGCAGCUAACGCAUUAAGUUCCCCGCCUGGGG
This 689-nucleotide ribosomal RNA is filed under the name Streptomyces sp. S4n2. Its description in RNAcentral is "bacterial SSU rRNA". It matches the Rfam family "Bacterial small subunit ribosomal RNA", at positions 173 to 878 of the family's 1533-position model. Lineage: Bacteria; Bacillati; Actinomycetota; Actinomycetes; Kitasatosporales; Streptomycetaceae. The record is from RNAcentral.